CCUACGGGAGGCAGCAGUGAGGAAUAUUGGUCAAUGGACGAGAGUCUGAACCAGCCAAGUAGCGUGAAGGAUGACUGCCCUAUGGGUUGUAAACUUCUUUUAUAAAGGAAUAAAACGAGGCACGUGUGCCUUUUUGCAUGUACUUUAUGAAUAAGGAUCGGCUAACUCCGUGCUAGCAGCCGCGGUAAUACGGAGGAUCCGAGCGUUAUCCGGAUUUAUUGGGUUUAAAGGGAGCGUAGAUGGGUUGUUAAGUCAGUUGUGAAAUUUUGCGGCUCAACCGUAAAAUUGCAAUUGAUACUGGCAGUCUUGAGUACAGUUGAGGUAGGCGGAAUUCGUGGUGUAGCGGUGAAAUGCUUAGAUAUCACGAAGAACCCCGAUUGCGAAGGCAGCUUACUAACCUGUGACUGACAUUGAUGCUCGAAAGUGUGGGUAUCAAACAGGAUUAGAUACCCGUGUAGUC
RNAcentral lists this ribosomal RNA (460 nucleotides) under uncultured bacterium. RNAcentral's name for it is "partial 16S ribosomal RNA". It matches the Rfam family "Bacterial small subunit ribosomal RNA", at positions 338 to 795 of the family's 1533-position model. The record is from RNAcentral.